This 238-nucleotide ribosomal RNA is filed under the name uncultured bacterium. RNAcentral's name for it is "partial 16S ribosomal RNA". It matches the Rfam family "Bacterial small subunit ribosomal RNA", at positions 1255 to 1500 of the family's 1533-position model. The record is from RNAcentral.
CGGCGACGCCGAGCGGACCCGAAAAACCGGUACUCAGUUCGGAUCGGAGUCUGNAACCCGACUCCGUGAAGCUGGAUUCGCUAGUAAUCGCGCAUCAGCCAUGGCGCGGUGAAUACGUUCCCGGGCCUUGUACACACCGCCCGUCAAGCCAUGGGAGCCGGGGGUGCUUGAAGUGCGUCGCCGUGAGGCGCGCCCUAGAGCAAAACCGGUGACUGGGGCUAAGUCGUAACAAGGUAAC